This 527-nucleotide ribosomal RNA is filed under the name Rhyothemis semihyalina. RNAcentral describes it as "partial 16S ribosomal RNA". It matches the Rfam family "Archaeal large subunit ribosomal RNA", at positions 1900 to 2678 of the family's 2987-position model. Lineage: Eukaryota; Metazoa; Arthropoda; Insecta; Odonata; Libellulidae. The record is from RNAcentral.
CAAAAACACGUCCUUUUGAAUNUAANAGAAGGUCNGACCCNCCCAGUGAUUAAUUUAACGGCCGCGGUAUACCNACCGNGCAAAGGUAGCAUAAUCAUUAGUCUNUUAAUAGAGGGCNGGAANGAAAGGUUUGACGAGGAACCGACUGUCUCAUUUUAUUUGUUUNAAAAUUUAAUUUUUUAGUCAAAAAGCUAAAAUAUAAUUGGAAGACGAGAAGACCCUAUAGAUCUUUAUAUAAUUUUAUAUAAUUAUUUUAAUAUUAAUAUAUUUAUAUUAUAAUUAUAUUUUGUUGGGGUGACAAGAAUAUAUAAUUAACUUUUUUAUUUAUUUGCCAUUGAUGAAUGAAUAUUAGAUCCACUCGUAGUGAUUAUUANAACANGUNACCUUAGGGAUAACAGCNUAAUCCUCCUCCNGNNUUCAUAUUUACANGAUGGGCUUGCGACCUCCCUGUUGGAUUAAGAUAAUAAUUACGUGUAGCCGCCCCCUUGAUAGGUCAGAUCGNCCUUUAAAUUCAUACNGGAGCGGAG